GGCUCAGGAUGAACGCUGGCGGCGUGCCUAACACAUGCAAGUCGAGCGGAGAUGCUGGAGAUUCUCGGAUGAUCCAUUCAUCUAGCGGCGGAUGGGUGAGUAACACGUGGGUAACCUGCCCUGCACAGGGGGAUAACAGCUGGAAACGGCUGUUAAUACCGCAUAUGCACACGCUGCCGCAUGGCAGAGGGUGGAAAGAUUUAUCGGUGCAGGAUGGGCCCGCGUCGGAUUAACUAGUUGGCAGGGUAACGGCCUACCAAGGUGAUGAUCCGUAGCCGACCUGAGAGGGUGACCGGCCACAUUGGGACUGAGACACGGCCCAAACUCCUACGGGAGGCAGCAGUGGGGGAUAUUGCACAAUGGGCGGAAGCCCUGAUGCAGCGACGCCGCGUGAAGGAAGAAGUAUUUCGGUAUGUAAACUUCUAUCAGCGGGGAAGAAGAUGACGGUACCCGACUAAGAAGCCCCGGCUAACUACGUGCCAGCCGCGGC
Molecule: ribosomal RNA, 490 nt
Filed under: uncultured bacterium
Lineage: Bacteria
Description: bacterial SSU rRNA
Rfam family: Bacterial small subunit ribosomal RNA
Source: RNAcentral